RNAcentral lists this ribosomal RNA (252 nucleotides) under uncultured bacterium. Its description in RNAcentral is "partial 16S ribosomal RNA". It matches the Rfam family "Bacterial small subunit ribosomal RNA", at positions 524 to 776 of the family's 1533-position model. The record is from RNAcentral.
UACGUAGGUGUCGAGCGUUGUCCGGAUUUAUUGGGCGUAAAGCGCCCGCAGGCGGCUUGGCAAGUUUGAGGUGAAAUCUCCCGGCUCAACUGGGAGGGUGCCUCGAAAACUGCCGGCUUGAGUCAUGGAGAGGGAUGUGGAAUUCCAGGUGUAGUGGUGAAAUGCGUAGAUAUCGAGAGGAACACCUGCGGCGAAGGCGGGUUGCUGGGCUGACACUGACGCUGAGGCGCGAAAGCCAGGGGAGCGAACGGG